Molecule: long non-coding RNA, 241 nt
Filed under: Elaeis guineensis (African oil palm)
Lineage: Eukaryota; Viridiplantae; Streptophyta; Magnoliopsida; Arecales; Arecaceae
Description: long non-coding RNA (EGUI_LNC082193)
Source: RNAcentral
CAAUCUCAACUAAUCUUGGAACAAACUUGGCUAACUCCAUGAAUUUAGCUUCAUAUUCUGCAACGGAUCUGUUCUCCUGUUUCAGAUGAAUGAACUCCUGCUCUUUCUGUAUUCUAACACUUCGAGGGAAGUACUUGUCAAAAAAUUCAUCUCGAAAUCUCUCCCAAGUGAGUGGUAUCCUAUCAUGCUCAUAUUUUUGUUCCAGUAUACGCCACCAGUUGUAUGCCUCGCCUUGUAACAG